Paramuricea clavata is the source of this 362-nucleotide non-coding RNA. Lineage: Eukaryota; Metazoa; Cnidaria; Anthozoa; Malacalcyonacea; Plexauridae. The record is from the annotation of a GenBank genome assembly.
AAUUAAAGUAGUCAUUGAUCAGUAUUUUCAAAUUCAGCAAGUCUCUUACAUUACAGUUGACGUUAUUAGAAUAAAUUAGAUAAAAGUAAAAAAAGAUACAGAGAAAGACUUCGGACUCAUCUACUUGGGAAAGACUAGCCAGUUAUAGCCUUCAAUGAUUAUAGCUGCAUGUGUACCUCUUAUUUCAAUAUCCGGGGAUCAUUUUGGUAGCGAUGUUGACUGGAACGGAGGGUAUAAAACAUUGGAAAUCGUAUCGGUGGAAAAUUGUUGGGAUCCAAAAGAAAAAUUAAAUGGUGCAAAUAUACAAGCGAAAAAUUAAAUGAUGCAAAUAAUACAAGCGGUGUAAAUCAAAUGCUAGCGCU